RNAcentral lists this ribosomal RNA (87 nucleotides) under Staphylococcus lutrae. The record is from RNAcentral. Lineage: Bacteria; Bacillati; Bacillota; Bacilli; Caryophanales; Staphylococcaceae. RNAcentral also lists the same sequence under 1 other name.
CUGUUCCCAUGCCGAACACAGAAGUUAAGCUCUUUAGCGCCGAUGGUAGUCGGACUUACGUUCCGCGAGAGUAGGACGGUGCCAGGU